This 253-nucleotide ribosomal RNA is filed under the name uncultured bacterium. Its description in RNAcentral is "partial 16S ribosomal RNA". It matches the Rfam family "Bacterial small subunit ribosomal RNA", at positions 524 to 776 of the family's 1533-position model. The record is from RNAcentral.
GACGUAGGGUGCGAGCGUUGUCCGGAUUUAUUGGGCGUAAAGAGCUCGUAGGCGGCUCGUCGCGUCGUCCGUGAAAACCCGCGGCUUAACCGCGGGCUUGCGGUUGAUACGGGCGGGCUAGAGUUCGGUAGGGGAGACUGGAAUUCCAGGUGUAGCGGUGAAAUUCGUAGAUAUCGGGAGGAACACCGGUGGCGAAGGCGGCUCUCUGGGACGUGACUGACGCUGAGACGCGAAAGCGUGGGGAGCGAACAGG